AAUUAGGCAUUGAUCUUUUCCCAAACAUAUCCAUCCUUGGAAAGAAGAAUAUAUCAUCAAUAUGGAAUUGAAAGCCUGUCAAAGUUCAGCCAAGUUUUGUUGACCCAAGAAAGGUCCCACUACCUCAAUUGAUGUUAAUUAAAAAUCUUGCUUACAUCACCAAAAGAAAACCCUUGGGCCACACUGAUGGGAACUUGCUGUCUAAUCUUAAAACUGUUCCUUCUACUGAUUUAUUGAAGUAUCAACCACAUCUGAGAUUUUCUCUGCUGCCUCGCUUUUGAAGCGUGCUUUGCAACGAGAGCCUUUGUCCAACACAAUCCAAGUGUUUAAUCAUCUUCUCUGCAAUCCUCAGAAAUGCACAAGGACUAUAAUCAGUAAGUCUUACUCUGGACCAGGUACUUUCUUUUGUAUGGUAAUUUAUAACUUUUAUGCCUGUCGGUAGUUUUCUGUCAGAUGUUUUGCUCUGAAUCCUGACCAAGUUUCCCAUCAGGGAGCUUUUGUACCAUCUGCUAUAAACCCAAUUGUGAGAGUGGCUCAUCAGAUGUCAGUCAGUCAUUCCU
This 560-nucleotide long non-coding RNA is filed under the name Anas platyrhynchos platyrhynchos (common mallard). Its description in RNAcentral is "lncRNA (ENSAPLG00000026108.1)". The record is from RNAcentral. Lineage: Eukaryota; Metazoa; Chordata; Aves; Anseriformes; Anatidae.